UUCAAGGAGAGGUAAAAAAAUAUUUUAUUGGUGUGAGCAAAGGAUGAAAUUUGUAUUUAUAAAAUGAUAAAACCAUUUAUCAUUUGGAAAGGGAAGAAAUAUGGCUAAAAUUAAAAAAAUUGUUUAUGUCAUGAUUAUCAUUUUUUCUCUAUUUCUUGCUGCAACACACGUUGAAUGUAAGCCAUUUUUUUCCUUUCUAAAUUUCCUUAUAUACUUUGUAUAAAUUUUUUAACUAACCUAAUUUACAUUACUCUAUCAUAUUUUCUCCUUGUAGCAUGGUGGUAUCCUAGUAGACGAUGUACUAAAGAAACAGAUUGUCAUCAAAAAAUGUGUCCAAAACAUAAGACAGAGAGGUGUCUCCGUGGUUGGUGUAAAUGUAUAGUGCCUGAGACUUUUAUACCUUUUUAAUUCUUUUUUAAUUAUGUAUUUAGUACCAUAUCCAAGAGAGGAGCCAAUAUCACUACAACAAUUUUGCUGUCAGUUAGCUUUUGUGUAUGUGUUGGCACACUAUAGCUUGAUUUUUAUUUCUUUAUCUAAUUUCAAGAAUUUUAUUUUUAUGACUUUGUAAUCUAAGAUGAUGGCUAUGAAAUAAAAUAAGGUAUCAAAUUAAUAUUAUUUGGAUUAUCUUUGAUAUAAAUAACAUUAUGGAUGUUCA
Molecule: long non-coding RNA, 655 nt
Filed under: Lathyrus oleraceus (garden pea)
Lineage: Eukaryota; Viridiplantae; Streptophyta; Magnoliopsida; Fabales; Fabaceae
Description: Pisum sativum (pea) long non-coding RNA (PSAT_LNC019696)
Source: RNAcentral